Molecule: ribosomal RNA, 253 nt
Filed under: uncultured bacterium
Lineage: Bacteria
Description: partial 16S ribosomal RNA
Rfam family: Bacterial small subunit ribosomal RNA
Source: RNAcentral
UACGAAGGGGGCUAGCGUUGCUCGGAAUCACUGGGCGUAAAGGGUGCGUAGGUGGCCAGGUAAGUUUGGUGUGAAAGCUCGGAGCUUAACUCCGAAAAGUCAUUGAAUACUAUCUGGCUGGAGGGUCGGAGGGGAGACUGGAAUUCUCGGUGUAGCAGUGAAAUGCGUAGAUAUCGAGAGGAACACCAGUGGCGAAGGCGAGUCUCUGGACGACUCCUGACACUGAGGCACGAAAGCUAGGGGAGCAAACAGG